Molecule: ribosomal RNA, 452 nt
Filed under: Rana temporaria (common frog)
Lineage: Eukaryota; Metazoa; Chordata; Amphibia; Anura; Ranidae
Description: partial 16S ribosomal RNA
Rfam family: Bacterial large subunit ribosomal RNA
Source: RNAcentral
ACUUGUUCUUUAAAUGAGGACUUGUAUCAACGGCACUACGAGGGCUAUACUGUCUCCUUUUUCUAAUCAGUGAAACUGAUCUCCCCGUGAAGAAGCGGGGAUCAAAAUAUAAGACGAGAAGACCCCAUGGAGCUUUAAACUCAUCACGCACCUCUGUGCCCCCAUAUCCUUAAACACAAGAGAUCUGCGUGCUAGUUUUAGGUUGGGGGGACCACGGAGUAUAACUUAACCUCCAUAACAAAUGGGCUAACACCCUUAUCCAUGAGACACAGCUCUAAGAAUUACCAAACUAAUGCUUAUGACCCGAUAUUCGAUCAAUGAACCAAGUUACCCUGGGGAUAACAGCGCAAUCUACUUCAAGAGCCCAUAUCGACAAGUAGGUUUACGACCUCGAUGUUGGAUCAGGGUAUCCCGGUGGUGCAACCGCUACCGAUGGUUCGUUUGUUCAACGA